Molecule: ribosomal RNA, 945 nt
Filed under: uncultured archaeon
Lineage: Archaea
Description: bacterial SSU rRNA
Rfam family: Archaeal small subunit ribosomal RNA
Source: RNAcentral
UUUUCCGGUUGAUCCUGCCGGACCCGACUGCUAUUUGGGUGAGGUUAAGCCAUGCGAGUUGAAUGGGAUACCUAAAUUUUCCAUAGCAAACUGCUCAGUAACACAUGAUCAACUUACCCUAUGGAGAACAAUAAUCUCGGGAAACUGAGGAUAAUGGUUCAUAGUUGAUUAGGCUUGGAAAAGUUUUUCAAUCAAAAGAGCAAGGAAAAUGGUCCUUGUUUGCCAUAGGAUAGGAUCGUGGUCGAUUAUGGUAGUUGGUGAGGUAAAGGCUCACCAAGCCGAUAAUCGAUAGGGGCCGUGAGAGCGGUUGCCCCGAGAUGGGUACUGAGACAGCGACCCAGGCCUUACGAGGCGCAGCAGGUACGAAACCUCGUCAAUACACGAAAGUGUGAACGGGUUACCCAAAGUGUCCAUUUGGACUGUGGUAGGUGAGUAAUGUCCCCUACUAGAAAGGAGAGGGCAAGGCUGGUGCCAGCCGCCGCGGUAAAACCAGCUCUUCAAGUUGUCGGGAUAAUUAUUGGGCUUAAAGUGUCCGUAGCCGGUAUGGUAAGUUCCUGGUAAAAUCUGGUAGCUUAACUAUCCGUAGGCUAGGAAUACUGCUAUACUAGAGGGCGGGAAAAGUCUGAGGUACUACAGGGGUAGGGGUGAAAUCUUAUAAUCCUUGUAGGACCACCAGUGGCGAAGGCGUCAGACUGGAACGCGCCUGACGGUGAGGGACGAAAGCCAGGGGAGCGAACCGGAUUAGAUACCCGGGUAGUCCUGGCCGUAAACGAUGCACACUAGGUGAUGGUACGGUCAUGAGCCGUAUCAGUGCCGUAGGGAAACCGUUAAGUGUGCCGCCUGGGAAGUACGGUCGCAAGGCUAAAACUUAAAGGAAUUGGCGGGGGAGCACCACAAGGGGUGAAGCCUGCGGUUCAAUUGGAGUCAACGCCGGGAAUCACUAGU